UAAUAAAAAUUUAAUCCAUUUCAACUCUUAAAAAACUGGAGUAGCUGAUAAAAUAACCACAUGUACCUCAUGCUGAUGUACUAGUACUAGUUUUUAACAGUAAAAAUAGAUGGAUUUUUUAACA
Gossypium raimondii (Peruvian cotton) is the source of this 124-nucleotide non-coding RNA. NCBI's taxonomy places the organism in Eukaryota, Viridiplantae, Streptophyta, Magnoliopsida, Malvales, Malvaceae. The record is from Rfam.